Molecule: ribosomal RNA, 253 nt
Filed under: uncultured bacterium
Lineage: Bacteria
Description: partial 16S ribosomal RNA
Rfam family: Bacterial small subunit ribosomal RNA
Source: RNAcentral
UACAGAGGUCCCAAGCGUUGUUCGGAAUUACUGGGCGUAAAGGGCGCGUAGGCGGCCCUCUAAGUCAGACGUGAAAUCCCUCGGCUCAACCGGGGAACUGCGUCUGAGACUGGAAGGCUUGAAUUCGGGAGAGGGAUGUGGAAUUCCAGGUGUAGCGGUGAAAUGCGUAGAUAUCUGGAGGAACACCGGUGGCGAAGGCGGCAUCCUGGACCGAGAUUGACGCUGAUGCGCGAAAGCCAGGGGAGCAAACGGG